UAUAAAAUUGAUAAACCUGUAGCCAGAUUCAUUAAAACAAGCAAACAAACAAAAAACAGGAGAGGACUCAAUAAAACCACAAAUUAAAGAGAAGAAAUAACAAAGACCACAAAAAUACAAAAGACUAUAAUAGAAUAUUAUGAAAAUAUAUAUGCCAACCUAGAACAAAUGAAUACAACCUAGAACAAAUGGAUAAAUUCCUAGAAUGACAAAACCUACCCAAUCUGAAUUAAAAAGAAAUACAAAAUUUGAACAGACUGCUUAUCAGCAAUGAAUUGAUUAGUAAUCAAAAACUUCCCAAUUAACAAAACUCAAGGACCAGAAAGUUUCAGAGGCAUCUUUUACCAAGUAUUUAAAGAAGGGUUAAAAAAAAGAGAGAAGGCUGAGCAAGAAGGUAGAGGAGUAGGGGUUCUUAACUCACCUGGCCCCACCAACUUACCUAGAUAACAUUCAAACCAUCCUGAAAACCUACAAUUCGACCUGAGAUUUAAAGAGAGAAUAGCUGGAAUGCUACAGAGAGAAGGGUUUUCACAUCUAACAAGGUAGGAAGGCAGAAAAAAAAAGAAUCAAGUGAUCAAGUGGAGGACCAGCACUGCAAGGAGCUGGGUUACAGCUAGGUGGUGAAAGGCUCCAGGACAGACAAGCUCAGGCCUGGAGAAGAGGGAACUUAAAAAAAUCCACACCGGAUUCUUCCCAGAUCGAAAAGCGCUUGGCAGGAAAAUUGAGCCAAAUCACAGAAGGGGCAGUGAAGCCUAAAGUUUCUCAGAGUUUGGAGGGAGUGCGCCUGGGGGAAACAGCGCCACAAACUGGGCCCAUCUCUGUAAAGGGCUGGAGUGCACACCUGGCAGGGCAUCUAGGAAAAGCCGGUGGGUCAGGUGGGAGACUCUGGAAGGAGGAAUCUCUGCCCUCUUUCCUGUGGGAGCACACACCCUGGAAGCGCAAUUCCAGCAGCGCAGGGCCCCGGAUUUCAGGGUGCCGAGCCAACACAGUCCAUGAUUCUGAAUUCCCCCUGGGACAGGAAGCAACAAGGACACAGGACAGCAAGGACUCUCCUGCUGCUGGGUGCCGCCAAGCUGUGCAUAUCCGUGCAUGUGCGCCGCCCGGGAGCAUCUAAGCCAGAGCGGACUCGGAGACUGCAUCAGUUACUGCUGGGAGCUGACUCCAGGGCUGGAGACAUGGCCCCUGCCAGUGUUGUUGUUCCUCCUUUUGUCACACUGUGCCUGGGAGAGGCGGGACUGCGAGGGAAGAGAAAGCUCAUGGGGUAAACAGCUCCCACUGAGCCCAGCACCUGGCAGGGGUCAGGGCAGCUCCCCCAGGUACAUACACCUAAGAACCAGCACAGCAGGCCCCUCCCCAGAAGACCAUGUGGAAGAACAGGGGAAGAACAAGUUCUUGACCAAGUAGCACUGGAAAGCUCCAGGGCAAGUCGAGGGAUUUACCGUAUAUAAAACCGGAGGGUACCAAUCCUAUUUUAUUUUCUUCCUUUUUCCAGUACAACUCGUUUUUAUAUCAGACUGUAAAUUUCCAUUUUUUCUCUUUUCUCACCUUAACUACAAUAUUUUACCACCUCUUCCCUUGAGACUUUCAUACUUCUACAAUUACAUGACUUACAUAUAUUUUCCACAUCUAGAUUCCUUUUAACAUACUCAACUUAAAUUUCAGAAAUAUAUGAUACUUUUGUUUGUUUGUUUUGUUUUGUGUUUUUGGUUUCCUCUGCCUCGUUUUGUUCUACAAUGGCAGAAGUUAAUACCUUCUAAAACAUGACCAUCAUGCACCCAGAACCAAGUAGUAUACCAUGCUGGUUCAUUCUGUGAGUUUCCUUAUUCCCAUUCUGCCCACCUCUUUUAUCUCAUUUAUGUUUUGGUGGUCAAUGUUAUAGUUCUCUACAAAUAUUUCUGAUUUAUAUAAAUUUGGGACUGAGCAUCUUUUAACAUACAGAACUUAAUAUACUCAAAACCAAGAGAAUCACCCUCUAGGACACCUUCUCCCUCCACUACAACUUCAACACCACCACCAUCUCCCAGUCCCCCCCUUUUUUUCUUCUCUUUUUUUUCUCCUUUUUCUUUUUCUUUGCUUCUUUGGGAUUAUUGGCCUUUUAUUUUUUACAACUUUGUUUUAAAAUUUGUUUUUCACUAUACUGGUGUUUUUUCUUUAUUUCGUUCUAAUCUUUUUUUUUUUUUCAAUUUCUGGUCUUUGACCCUGGCAGAAUCAUCUAAGGGGAAAUUUACUUAGGUCGUGAUUGAUAUUCUUGACUCAGCCCGCUCAUACACCCACUCUGCACUGAGCAAAAUGACUAGAAAGAAGAACUCACCACAAAAGAAAGAAUCUGAAACAGUACUCUCUGCCACAGAGUUACAGAACUUGGAUUACAAUUCAAUGUCAGAAAGCCAAUUCAGAAGCAUAUUAUAAAGCUACUGCUGGCUCUGGCAAAAAGCACAAAGGAUUCAACAGACCUCAUGACAGCAGAUUUAUUUCUAAUCAGACCAAAAUUAAAAAUCAAUUAAAUGAGAUGCAAUCCAAACUGGAGGUCCUAACAAUGAGGGUUAAUGAAGUAGAAGAAAGAGUUUGUGACAUAGAAGACAAGUUGAUGGCAAGGAAGGAAGCUGAGGAAAAAAAAAGAGAAGAACAAUUAAAGACCAUGAGGAAAGGUUAAGGGAAAUAAAUGAUAGCCUCAGAAGGAAAAAUCUGCAUAUAAUUGGGGUUCCAGAGAGCGCCGAGAGGGACAGAGGGACAGAAAGUAUAUCUGAACAAAUGAUAGUGGAGAACUUCCUAAUUUAGGGAGGGAAACAGACAUUCAGAUACAGGAGAUAGAGAGGUUCCCACCAAAAUCAAUAAAAAACAUUCAACACCUCUACAUGUAAUAGUGAAACUUGCAAAUUCCAAAGAUAAAGAGAAAAUCCUUAAACCAGCAAGAGACAAGAGAGCCCUAACUUAAAUGAGGAGAAAUGUAAGAAUAACAGCAGACAUCUCCACAGAAACCUGGCAGGCCAGAAAGGGCUGGUAGGAUAUAUUCAGGUUACUAAAUGAUAAGAACAUGCAACAAGAAUUCUUUAUCCAGCAAGGCUGUCAUUCAGAAUAGGAGAGAUAAAGAGCUUGCAAGAUAGUCAGAAACUAAAAGAAUAUGUGACCAUCAAAACAGUUCUGCAAAAAAUAUUAAGGGUGACCCUGUAAAAGAAAUAGGAAGCCCAAAGAAAUAGUCCACAAAAACAGGGACUAAAUAGGUAUUAUGAUGACACUAAAUUCAUACCUUUCAAUAUUAACUCUGAACGUGAAUGGGAUAAAUGAUCCCAUCAAAAGAUGCAGGGUUUCAGACUGGAUGAAAGAGCAAUACCCAUCUAUUUGUUGUCUCCAAAAGACUCAUUUGAGACCUAUGAUGAACAAUAUCCCUGAUGAGCCUUGAAAAUGAAAGGUUGGAGAACUAUUUACCAUUCAAUGGUCUUCAAAAGAAAGCUUGGGUAGCAAUCAUCUUAUCAGAUACAUUAAAGUAUAUCUCAAAGACUGUAGUAAUAGAUGAAGAGGGGCAUUAUAUCAUACUUAAAGGGCAUAUCCAACAAGAAGAGCUAACAAUCAUGAUAUUUAGGCUCCUAAUGUGGGACUGCCAAGUAUAUCAAUCAAUUAAUAACCAAAGUAAAGACAUACUUAGAUAAUAAUACACUAAGAGUAGGAGACUUCAACAUGGCAUUUUCUGUAAGGGACAGAUUUUCUAAGCACAACAUGACCAAAGAAAUAAGACCUGUAUAUGGUACACUGCACCAGAUGGAUUUCAGAGAUAUAUACAGAAAUUUCCAUCUGAACACAACUGAAUGCACAUUGUUCUCAAGUGCACAUGGAACUUUCUCGAGAAUAGACCACAUACUGGGUCACAAAUCAUGUCUCAAACAAUACCAAAGAUUGGGAUUGUCCCCUGCAUAUUUUCAGACAACAAUGCUUUGAAACUAGAACUCAAUCACAAGAAGAAAUUUAGAAGGAACUCAAACACGUGGAGGUUAAAAAGCUGCCUGAUAAAGGUGAAUGGAUCAACCAGGAAAUUAGAGCAGAAUUAAAAAUAUUCAAGAAACUAAUUAAAAUAAAUAUACAAUGGUUCAAAAUCUUUGGGAUACAGCAAAAGCAGUCCUAAGAGGGAAAUACAUCGCA
This 4134-nucleotide long non-coding RNA is filed under the name Canis lupus familiaris (dog). RNAcentral describes it as "lncRNA (ENSCAFG00000052735.1)". Lineage: Eukaryota; Metazoa; Chordata; Mammalia; Carnivora; Canidae. The record is from RNAcentral.